GACGAACGCUGGCGGCGUGCCUAAUACAUGCAAGUCGAACGAGAGCGACCGGUGCUUGCCCUGGUCAAUCUAGUGGCGAACGGGUGAGUAACACGUGGGUAACCUGCCCAUCAGAGGGGGAUAACAUUCGGAAACGGAUGCUAAAACCGCAUAGGUCUUCGAACCGCAUGGUUUGAAGAGGAAAAGAGGCGCAAGCUUCUGCUGAUGGAUGGACCCGCGGUGCAUUAGCUAGUUGGUGAGGUAACGGCUCACCAAGGCCGUGAGGCAUAGCCGACCUGAGAGGGUGAUCGGCCACAUUGGGACUGAGACACGGCCCAAACUCCUACGGGAGGCAGCAGUAGGGAAUCUUCCGCAAUGGACGCAAGUCUGACGGAGCAACGCCGCGUGAGUGAAGAAGGUGUUCGGAUCGUAAAACUCUGUUGUUAGAGAAGAACAAGUGCUAGAGUAACUGUUAGCGCCUUGACGGUAUCUAACCAGAAAGCCACGGCUAACUACGUG
Molecule: ribosomal RNA, 498 nt
Filed under: uncultured bacterium
Lineage: Bacteria
Description: partial 16S ribosomal RNA
Rfam family: Bacterial small subunit ribosomal RNA
Source: RNAcentral